UCAAUGACAGCAGAAUUUAUUUGUUCACAUUUGACAAAAACGAAAUACAUUCUGAAUUAACAUAAUACAAAUUGUGCAUAAUAACACACUAAGAGACAAAUUAUGGACAACACAGUGAUUGGAGACACUAAGCAUCCCAAAUUAGUCCACGGGCCAGAGGGACACAUUCACACACAAUUUUACAACUUUGCCAAAGUAUCACUGUGUUGUAUCAAAUUUGGGUUAUAUUUAAAUAAUGCUUUGUUUAUCUCAUGAUUCCCUUGAUGAUAACUACACUGCAUAUGAAUGAACGCCACACAAUAGAGUCGUCAUUGAUUUAUGAUUUUCAACGUGGAGGAACUGAAUUAAUUAUUCAAUGCCUUAUAGAUAUUGGUGUAAGACCAAAUGAACAUGUGUGUUACUGUGAGGAAAAUGCCAAAAAUUGCUCAGAUAUGUGUUAUUUAACUAGAAUAAUGGUAGAAAUAUAUAUUACCAUCAUUUUAACUAGGCAAGUCAGUUAAGAACAAAUUAUUAUUUUCAAUGACAGCCUAGGAACAGUGAGUUAACUGCCUGUUCAGGGGCAGAUUGACAGAUUUGUACCUUGUCAGCUCGGGGAUUCGAUCUUGCAACCUUUCGGUUACAAGUCCAACGCUCUAACCACUAGGCUACCUGCCACCCCUCCAAUCUAACCACUAGGCUACCUGCCGUCCCUCCACUCUAACCACUAGGCUACCUGCCUCCCCUCCACUCUAACCACUAGGCUACCUGACGCCCCAUACACUCUAACCACUAGGCCACCUGCCACCCCUCCACUCUAACCACUAGGCUACCUGCCGUCCCUACACUCUAACCACUAGGCUACCUGCCUCCCCUACACUCUAACCACUAGGCCACCCCUCCACACCACUAGGCUACCUGCCACCCCAUGCCAAAUAUGCCAAAAAAUGCUGUCUGGAAUUCCAGAGUUUUGUAGCCAUUUUCAAAUACUAUAUAUUACAUUUAAAAACUAUUUGAAAUGUUGUAGAAUCAUUCACAGAUGAUAUGCAUGUUAACAUUAAGACAUUCCCAGUACAGUGUACCCUAUAUGAAAUCACAUAGGAAUUCAUUAUUUCCAGCAAAACAGUACAGGGAAAUCCAUUUUCGCAAAAAUGCCUUCAUAAUGAGUGCACCAAAUGUUACAUAAAGUUAGGAACAGUCUAAACAAUGAAGCCUAGCUAUUACUAAUUUAAUCAUAAGGUACACAUUAUCCAAUAUGGCCGCCAACCAGCUCCAUCC
This is a long non-coding RNA of Oncorhynchus tshawytscha (Chinook salmon), 1254 nucleotides long. Lineage: Eukaryota; Metazoa; Chordata; Actinopteri; Salmoniformes; Salmonidae. The record is from Ensembl.